This is a long non-coding RNA of Notothenia coriiceps (black rockcod), 1033 nucleotides long. RefSeq lists it as uncharacterized. The record is from RefSeq and is a predicted model, not a curated record. Lineage: Eukaryota; Metazoa; Chordata; Actinopteri; Perciformes; Nototheniidae. The transcript is spliced from 3 exons.
CCUCAGCGCAACAAGGGGAGUGAUGCGCGGCUGUUGCUGAAGCUCCUGGCUGUAACUACGUCGCAUUAAAACAACACCAGGCAGUUUAUUGUACGUCUACUGGCAUGUUGCCACUUCACUCUUUGGCCGGUUAAUAGGGUGUUUUCCGUAACGUUCGUUAUACUUAUAUUAGUGAGCUAUCGGCAGCUAGGCACAAAGGCGUUUAGAGAGCUACUAGCCGAUGUUAGCUAACUGUAACUAGCAUGCUAACAACACAGCCGCCGAGAACGAGCACAUCCUUGCGCAGCCACACUCGGGUUAAUCUCUGUUGACUCGCUCCGUUGGUUAUGUUAGCUGUUUCAUGGUAGUCAUUUAUUUGAAACCUAAGUCAAGUGUUUUUUUUUUAUCAGCUACCACUCAUGACUAGGAUACUUGAAGCAACACUUAAGUAUAACUGGUUCGUUUGCUUGUUUUUCAGCUAGCCAAGGCACUGCUUUGGUCUCAUUCAGGGAUGUGGUGGUAGCAAAACAAGCUAACGUUACUCCCCUCUGUGAAGAAGUGACUGCAAGAAGUGAGGAAAAACUGAAGGCAAGCGGGAGUUUUUAUUUGUGUUUAUCUUUCAUUCCGGUGUGGAUGACACGAGGACAAACCUGACAAACAUAGUUGAACUGAAACUGGGAAUAUCACUAACAGGUCGAAGGGAUUAUUUUGGUGUCUCUAAGUGGAUUUCGGCCUCUUGUUGGGGAUCGUCGUGGGAACACCGUGAGUGUUUUGACAUUGAGUGAGUCUACACGCAAAAAAUAUCCCGCCGACCUUCAUCCUCCGAUGCGGAGAUUUCAUUAGCACCGGCAACCAAAUCCCCCCGGCGGCCGGACAUGCUGAAGUGUAUCCCCCUGUGGCGUUGCAACCGCCACGUCGAGUCGGUGGACAAGCGGCAUUGCAACUUGCAGACAGUCCCCGAUGAGGUAUUCCGCUACAGUCGCAGCCUGGAGGAGCUUCUCCUCGAUGCCAACCAACUCAAAGAGCUACCAAAGCCUUUCUUCAGACUGCUGAG